GACAGAGGGUGCGAACGUUGUUCGGAAUUACUGGGCGUAAAGGGCAUGCAGGCGGUCCGACACGUUUUGUGUGACAGCGGGUGGCUUAACUACCCGAGGAUACGAAAGACGGUUGGACUUGAGGACUCGAGAGGGACACGGAAUUCCGGGUGGAGUGGUGAAAUGCGUAGAGAUCCGGAGGAACACCGAAGGCGAAGGCAGUGUCCUGGCGAGUGACUGACGCUGAGGUGCGAAAGCCAGGGGAGCGAACGGG
This 253-nucleotide ribosomal RNA is filed under the name uncultured bacterium. Its description in RNAcentral is "partial 16S ribosomal RNA". It matches the Rfam family "Bacterial small subunit ribosomal RNA", at positions 524 to 776 of the family's 1533-position model. The record is from RNAcentral.